AUACUCCUACGGGGCGCAGCAGUAGGGAAUAUUGCUCAAUGGGGGAAACCCUGAAGCAGCAACGCCGCGUGGAGGAUGAAGGUUUUAGGAUUGUAAACUCCUUUUGUGAGAGAAGAUAAUGACGGUAUCUCGCGAAUAAGCACCGGCUAACUCCGUACCAGCAGCCGCGGUAAUACGGAGGGUGCAAGCGUUACUCGGAAUCACUGGGCGUAAAGAGUGCGCAGGCGGGCUUGUAAGUCAGAUGUGAAAUCCUGUAGCUUAACUACAGAACUGCAUUCGAAACUAUGAGUCUAGAGUGUGGGAGG
RNAcentral lists this ribosomal RNA (305 nucleotides) under uncultured bacterium. Its description in RNAcentral is "bacterial SSU rRNA". It matches the Rfam family "Bacterial small subunit ribosomal RNA", at positions 333 to 655 of the family's 1533-position model. The record is from RNAcentral.